Molecule: ribosomal RNA, 1141 nt
Filed under: Candidatus Synechococcus spongiarum
Lineage: Bacteria; Bacillati; Cyanobacteriota; Cyanophyceae; Synechococcales; Synechococcaceae
Description: bacterial SSU rRNA
Rfam family: Bacterial small subunit ribosomal RNA
Source: RNAcentral
CGAAAGCCUGACGGAGCAACGCCGCGUGAGGGAUGGAGGCCUUUGGGCUGUAAACCUCUUUUCUCAAGGAAGAAGAUCUGACGGUACUUGAGGAAUAAGCCACGGCUAAUUCCGUGCCAGCAGCCGCGGUAAUACGGGAGUGGCAAGCGUUAUCCGGAAUUAUUGGGCGUAAAGCGUCCGCAGGCGGCCGUUUAAGUCUGUUGUUAAAUCGUGGAGCUCAACUCCAUCACGGCAAUGGAAACUGUUCGGCUUGAGUAUGGUAGGGGCAGAGGGAAUUUCCGGUGUAGCGGUGAAAUGCGUAGAUAUCGGGAAGAACACCAGUGGCGAAAGCGCUCUGCUGGGCCAUUACUGACGCUCAUGGACGAAAGCCAGGGGAGCGAAAGGGAUUAGAUACCCCUGUAGUCCUGGCCGUAAACGAUGAACACUAGAUGUUGGGGGAAUCGACCCCCUCGGUGUCGUAGCUAACGCGUUAAGUGUUCCGCCUGGGGAGUACGCACGCAAGUGUGAAACUCAAAGGAAUUGACGGGGGCCCGCACAAGCGGUGGAGUAUGUGGUUUAAUUCGAUGCAACGCGAAGAACCUUACCAAGGCUUGACAUCCUGCGAAUCUCUAAGAAAUUAGAGAGUGCCUUCGGGAACGCAGUGACAGGUGGUGCAUGGCUGUCGUCAGCUCGUGUCGUGAGAUGUUGGGUUAAGUCCCGCAACGAGCGCAACCCACGUUUUUAGUUGCCAGCAUUCAGUUGGGCACUCUAGAAAGACUGCCGGUGACAAACCGGAGGAAGGUGUGGACGACGUCAAGUCAUCAUGCCCCUUACGCCUUGGGCUACACACGUACUACAAUGCUGCGGACAAAGAGUAGCGAUCUUGCGAAAGUUAGCUAAUCUCAUAAACCGUGGCUCAGUUCAGAUCGUAGGCUGCAACUCGCCUACGUGAAGGAGGAAUCGCCAGUAAUCGCAGGUCAGCAUACUGCGGUGAAUACGUUCCCGGGCCUUGUACACACCGCCCGUCACACCAUGGAAGUUGGCCAUGCCCGAAGUCGUUACUCUAACCUUUUGGAAGAGGGCGCCGAAGGCAGGGCUAAUGACUGGGGUGAAGUCGUAACAAGGUAGCCGUAGCGGAAGCUGCGGCUGGAUCACCUCCUAA